This 26-nucleotide non-coding RNA is filed under the name Drosophila melanogaster (fruit fly). The record is from RNAcentral. Lineage: Eukaryota; Metazoa; Arthropoda; Insecta; Diptera; Drosophilidae.
CCGAAAAACAAAAGAUUGCAGCAAAC